CGCAAGAUCCAGAUGCAUCCAGCAAGCUCGGAGAGACACAUGCGUCAAUAGUCCUGAUGGACUCCAACUAAAUAAGAGGACCUCUAGCACCCAGCUGAACAGAGCGGGUCGGCGCUGCUCCUGUGCUGAUACCGAAGAAAGCCUAUUCUUACCGUUGUUCUCAAGCCUUGACUGCCUUGAGAAAGCUCCUUAUCUUCAGUUUGCUGAGAGCCUUACAAUGAAUGCUGCUGAACCCCAGCCAGAUGUUUUCAGCAUCUGCCUAAGAUAACAAAUGACAACGACUGUGUUCAGCAGUAAUGAAACCUGUAUCUGGUUCUCCGUAUGUCUCUCAGCAUCUCCAUGGGGGCAGAAGCAAGAGCUGUAAAGAGAGGAGCUGAGGCAGAACCAAGACUCAGGACGU
Mus musculus (house mouse) is the source of this 400-nucleotide long non-coding RNA. RefSeq annotates it as predicted gene, 53968. The record is from RefSeq and is a predicted model, not a curated record. NCBI's taxonomy places the organism in Eukaryota, Metazoa, Chordata, Mammalia, Rodentia, Muridae. The transcript has 3 exons.